UACGUAGGGUGCGAGCGUUGUCCGGAAUUAUUGGGCGUAAAGAGCUCGUAGGCGGUCUGUCGCGUCGGUCGUGAAAACUUGGGGCUUAACCCCGAGCUUGCGGUCGAUACGGGCAUGACUGGAGUUCGGCAGGGGAGACUGGAAUUCCUGGUGUAGCGGUGAAAUGCGCAGAUAUCAGGAGGAACACCGGUGGCGAAGGCGGCCAACUGGACGAAUACUGACGCUGAGACUCGAAAGCGUGGGGAGCAAACAGG
Molecule: ribosomal RNA, 254 nt
Filed under: uncultured bacterium
Lineage: Bacteria
Description: partial 16S ribosomal RNA
Rfam family: Bacterial small subunit ribosomal RNA
Source: RNAcentral